RNAcentral lists this ribosomal RNA (507 nucleotides) under uncultured bacterium. Its description in RNAcentral is "partial 16S ribosomal RNA". It matches the Rfam family "Bacterial small subunit ribosomal RNA", at positions 30 to 523 of the family's 1533-position model. The record is from RNAcentral.
AUUGAACGCUGACGGCAGGCCUAACACAUGCAAGUCGAGCGGAUGACGGGAGCUUGCUCCUUGAUUCAGCGGCGGACGGGUGAGUAAUGCCUAGGAAUCUGCCUGGUAGUGGGGGACAACGUUUCGAAAGGAACGCUAAUACCGCAUACGUCCUACGGGAGAAAGCAGGGGACCUUCGGGCCUUGCGCUAUCAGAUGAGCCUAGGUCGGAUGAGCUAGUUGGUGAGGUAAUGGCGCACCAAGGCGACGAUCCGUAACUGGUCUGAGAGGAUGACCAGUCACCCUGGAACUGAGACACGGUCAAGACGCCUACGGGAGGCAGCAGGGGGGAAUAUGGGAAAAUGGGCGAAAGCCUGAUCCAGCAAUGCCGAGUGUGUGAAGAAGGUCUUCGAAUUGUAAAGCACUUUAUGUUGGGAGGAAGGGCAGAAACCUCUAACGUUAAUAGCGUCGGAAUUGACGGUACCUGACGAAUAAGCCACGGCCAACUCCGUGCCAGCCGCCGCAGUAA